This 492-nucleotide ribosomal RNA is filed under the name uncultured bacterium. RNAcentral's name for it is "partial 16S ribosomal RNA". It matches the Rfam family "Bacterial small subunit ribosomal RNA", at positions 29 to 507 of the family's 1533-position model. The record is from RNAcentral.
AGUGAACGCUGGCGGUAGGCCUAACACAUGCAAGUCGAACGGCAGCACAGUAAGAGCUUGCUCUUACGGGUGGCGAGUGGCGGACGGGUGAGGAAUACAUCGGAAUCUACUUUUUCGUGGGGGAUAACGUAGGGAAACUUACGCUAAUACCGCAUACGACCUACGGGUGAAAGCAGGGGAUCUUCGGACCUUGCGCGAUUGAAUGAGCCGAUGUCGGAUUAGCUAGUUGGCGGGGUAAAGGCCCACCAAGGCGACGAUCCGUAGCUGGUCUGAGAGGAUGAUCAGCCACACUGGAACUGAGACGCGGUCCAGACUCCUACGGGAGGCAGCAGUGGGGAAUAUUGGACAAUGGGCGCAAGCCUAAUCCAGCCAUACCGCGUGGGUGAAGAAGGCCUUCGGGUUGUAAAGCCCUUUUGUUGGGAAAGAAAAGCAGCAGGUUAAUACCCCGCUGUUCUGACGGUACCCAAAGAAUAAGCACCGGCUAACUUCGUG